GUUAGGAAUCUUGGGCAAUGGGCGCAAGCCUGACCCAGCCAUGCCGCGUGUGUGAAGAAGGCCUUCGGGUUGUAAAGCACUUUCAGCGGUGAAGAAAAGCUCAGGGACAAUACCCCUCGAGUCUUGACGUUAGCCACAGAAGAAGCACCGGCUAACUCCGUGCCAGCAGCCGCGGUAAUACGGAGGGUGCGAACGUUAAUCGGAAUCACUGGGCGUAAAGCGCGCGUAGGCGGUUUGUUAAGUGGGAUGUGAAAUCCCCGGGCUUAACCUGGGAAUUGCAUUUCAAACUGGCCGACUAGAGUACGGUAGAGGGAGGUAGAAUUUCCUGUGUAGCGGUGAAAUGCGUAGAUAUAGGAAGGAAUACCAGUGGCGAAGGCGGCCUCCUGGAUCGAUACUGACGCUGAGGCGCGAAAGCGUGGGGAGCAAACAGGAUUAGAAACCCGGGUAGUCC
This 451-nucleotide ribosomal RNA is filed under the name uncultured bacterium. Its description in RNAcentral is "bacterial SSU rRNA". It matches the Rfam family "Bacterial small subunit ribosomal RNA", at positions 354 to 796 of the family's 1533-position model. The record is from RNAcentral.